RNAcentral lists this ribosomal RNA (253 nucleotides) under uncultured bacterium. Its description in RNAcentral is "partial 16S ribosomal RNA". It matches the Rfam family "Bacterial small subunit ribosomal RNA", at positions 524 to 776 of the family's 1533-position model. The record is from RNAcentral.
UACGUAGGGUGCAGGCGUUAAUCGGAAUUACUGGGCGUAAAGCGUGCGCAGGCGGUUUGCUAAGACAGGUGUGAAAUCCCCGGGCUUAACCUGGGAACUGCGCUUGUUACUGGCAAGCUAGAGUGUGGCAGAGGGGGGUGGAAUUCCAGGUGUAGCAGUGAAAUGCGUAGAGAUGUGGAGGAAUACCGAUGGCGAAGGCAGCCCCCUGGGCCAGUACUGACGCUCAUGCACGAAAGCGUGGGGAGCAAACAGG